GAAGGGUGCAAGCGUUACUCGGAAUUACUGGGCGUAAAGCGUGCGUAGGUGGUCCAGUUAAGUCUGAUGUGAAAUCCCUGGGCUCAACCUAGGAAUUGCAUUCCUUCUGGCAGGGUAGAGGGAGGUAGAGGGUAGUGGAUUCCCGGUGUAGCAGUGAAAUGCGUAGAGAUCGUCAGGAACACCACUGGCGAAAGCGGCUACCUGGACCUGCUCUGACACUGAGGCACGAAAGCUAGGGGAGCAAACAGGAUUAGAUACCCCGGUAGUCCACGCCCUAAACGAUGAGAACUGGUUGUGGGGUGCAACUAGGCUUUCCGUAUCGAAGCUAACGCGUUAAGUUCUCCGCCUGGGGAGUACGGUCGCAAGACUG
Molecule: ribosomal RNA, 370 nt
Filed under: uncultured bacterium
Lineage: Bacteria
Description: bacterial SSU rRNA
Rfam family: Bacterial small subunit ribosomal RNA
Source: RNAcentral